Olea europaea var. sylvestris is the source of this 1383-nucleotide long non-coding RNA. RefSeq lists it as uncharacterized. NCBI's taxonomy places the organism in Eukaryota, Viridiplantae, Streptophyta, Magnoliopsida, Lamiales, Oleaceae. The transcript is spliced from 3 exons. The record is from RefSeq and is a predicted model, not a curated record.
UUUUGCUAUCUGCAACUUUCCAUCCCUUCUCGUUUAUCCUCUGAGAUUUUAGUGUUAGACUUUAUUGUUUGUUUUCUUGAUGGCCGCAUUUUGAAUGUCUAUUGAAGGUUUACACUUUUUGUAUUUUCAAAAUUUAUCUCAUAAAUGAUAUGAAUUAUGUCAAGGAAAGCGUAUUCUAUAUUUGUUUAUGUGUAACGUUGGGCUCUUUUCUGUGGUUAUAGCUACUGGGUUCAGAAAAAUAAGUUAUGGUAGCUGGAGGUUAACAUUUCACCUUUGUUUUGAUUUUGUUCUUUUCUUCUAAUAAAACUUCCCUCCAAGUGCCUUGGGUAUUUUUUUCCCCACCAAUUCAACGCAUAGACAACAGAGACUUCAUUAACCUUAUUUUAUCAGAUAUUCACUCAUAGUACUUAGUUUCGUUUUCUGAUUUGCUAGAUGAAAAAUAUUGUAGGCUUCUGAAGAUCUAAUGAAAUUGGUGGUCUACCUAGAUGAUUGUGAGAACUAAGUACCGGAGCAGUACAUAGAUGGAAAUGACGUACACAUGAACAAGAUUGAGUAACAUGGUAUAUGGAAAUCAAUUCGUGGUGUUAUCCUCUUUCAUUGGAUCCAUAUAAGAAGAUAUUCUCCUGAGCAAUUAUAUGCUGUCGUUGCUGCUGUUUACUUAUAUGAUGAUUUUCUUCCCUGGUGGCGCUCAGAGAUCAUUAGGCACCAUCCAGAUGGAUCUUUGGAUGCUGAACUAGAAAUUGGUUUCAAAUUUCUCAUUGGAAGUUACGUGUUCCAUGUGGAGUUGAACAAAUCAAAAUCUGUAAAGGUUGUUGAAAAGUUGAUCGGUUGAGUAAGGAGGAGAUUUUCAAUUUAAUGAGGAAAAUUUGCAGUCUGAUCCUGCCUGGAAGUAUUUAAUGGCACAUAAAGCAAUCCAGCAGGGUGAGAAGGUUGUUCGAUGACGUUAAUUUUCAUAUUUGUUGAAACAGACUUAGCUGCUUGGAGUCUGAUUGAAGUAACGAUUCUGAGGCACAAGGUUGUGGACAAAAUUCUCUAGUAGUAAAUUUUAUUAAUGUGUGUGUCUGAUCUUGCUGUCUUGGAAAAGGAAAUAAAAAGUGAAAAAGAUUGUUUGGACAUUCUUUUGAUUAUGUCAAGCUCAAAAUCAAGGAUGACUUUCCUCAACCCAAUGUUGCGUGGGAAAGAGUUAGCCAUCACAAAUUACUGUAUAUUGAAAUAUCUCUAACUCGCUAUAGAAAUUUGACCAAUUAGGUUCAUUACUAUCCUCAUAUUUUGUAUAUAUUUUCGUUAUGAUGGAUUGCUAAAUAGAUUGCAUGGAUAGCUCAGUCCUAAAAUUUUCUUUUCCUGCUCAUGUAAUCCGUAAUGGGUAUUAAUUACAAUGAUGAA